RNAcentral lists this ribosomal RNA (1014 nucleotides) under Burkholderia gladioli. RNAcentral's name for it is "bacterial SSU rRNA". It matches the Rfam family "Bacterial small subunit ribosomal RNA", at positions 60 to 1066 of the family's 1533-position model. Lineage: Bacteria; Pseudomonadati; Pseudomonadota; Betaproteobacteria; Burkholderiales; Burkholderiaceae. The record is from RNAcentral.
AGUCGAACGGCAGCACGGGUGCUUGCACCUGGUGGCGAGUGGCGAACGGGUGAGUAAUACAUCGGAACAUGUCCUGUAGUGGGGGAUAGCCCGGCGAAAGCCGGAUUAAUACCGCAUACGAUCUACGGAUGAAAGCGGGGGACCUUCGGGCCUCGCGCUAUAGGGUUGGCCGAUGGCUGAUUAGCUAGUUGGUGGGGUAAAGGCCCACCAAGGCGACGAUCAGUAGCUGGUCUGAGAGGACGACCAGCCACACUGGGACUGAGACACGGCCCAGACUCCUACGGGAGGCAGCAGUGGGGAAUUUUGGACAAUGGGCGAAAGCCUGAUCCAGCAAUGCCGCGUGUGUGAAGAAGGCCUUCGGGUUGUAAAGCACUUUUGUCCGGAAAGAAAUCCUGAGGGCUAAUAUCCUUCGGGGAUGACGGUACCGGAAGAAUAAGCACCGGCUAACUACGUGCCAGCAGCCGCGGUAAUACGUAGGGUGCGAGCGUUAAUCGGAAUUACUGGGCGUAAAGCGUGCGCAGGCGGUUUGUUAAGACCGAUGUGAAAUCCCCGGGCUCAACCUGGGAACUGCAUUGGUGACUGGCAAGCUAGAGUAUGGCAGAGGGGGGUAGAAUUCCACGUGUAGCAGUGAAAUGCGUAGAGAUGUGGAGGAAUACCGAUGGCGAAGGCAGCCCCCUGGGCCAAUACUGACGCUCAUGCACGAAAGCGUGGGGAGCAAACAGGAUUAGAUACCCUGGUAGUCCACGCCCUAAACGAUGUCAACUAGUUGUUGGGGAUUCAUUUCCUUAGUAACGUAGCUAACGCGUGAAGUUGACCGCCUGGGGAGUACGGUCGCAAGAUUAAAACUCAAAGGAAUUGACGGGGACCCGCACAAGCGGUGGAUGAUGUGGAUUAAUUCGAUGCAACGCGAAAAACCUUACCUACCCUUGACAUGGUCGGAACCUUGGAGAGAUCCGAGGGUGCUCGAAAGAGAACCGAUACACAGGUGCUGCAUGGCUGUCGUCAGCUCGUGUC